Amphiprion ocellaris (clown anemonefish) is the source of this 7738-nucleotide long non-coding RNA. RefSeq lists it as uncharacterized. The transcript is spliced from 3 exons. The record is from RefSeq and is a predicted model, not a curated record. Lineage: Eukaryota; Metazoa; Chordata; Actinopteri; Pomacentridae.
GGUAAUUCGGUGGAACUCAGCAAAGACCUGGGAAAAUGACACAAAAAAACACAUUGAAAAAAUCCAAAUUAAUAUGUGUAGCAUAUUGUAACAAAUGUUUGAGGACAGGCAGACUAAGAACAGUACAGUCGUUACCUGUGACUCCAUUCGUAAGGCUGACCAGUUUGGCAAGAAGUCCCUCACUGGAAGACCAGUGAGGGACUUUAUGUGUCACUGUAACUACAUGUAGCUUUCAUCAGGCGUUCCUGAGCUGGCAUGCUGCACAGUUUGCAUUUACACCUGCCUGAAUUCUUGGUCAUUGGUUUUGCUGUUCUGAUCAUGCUUGCAGGCAUUUUCACCUACAAUAACAAUAAUGCAAAAAUCAACCAUAGUCUCUGUUUACCGUGUCUUACCAGUGAUAAGACGUUGCUGUGACGUGCUGAAGGUGGUGUACGUGUCGGUGUCCGAGCUGGUACUGGUGUCGAAGCUGGUGCUGGAGUGGAGACAGGGGAGCUGGGGGCUCCAUGACGGAGGUGGAGUAGGCUUCACAUGUGGAAAGGGAUUCUUGAACAGAAAUAAACACUCACCCUAAGUACACGAGAAACACAACAUUGUAACUUGUGAAAAAAAUAAACCUGUAAGACCACCAGCUUAGUUCGUCAUGCUGACUUAAGUAUUCGCUUCUGAGACCAAAACGUAAGAAACAGCAGCAUGAAAUACAAGCAGAACAUGGAGUUAGUGCUGAUGGCUAACUGGCUAGCGCUGAUGGCUAACUAGCUAGUUUAUUGUCUGCUACAAGAGACAAUGACGUUACUUUCUAAAUAUACUUGUUUGCUUAAAGGGAGCUUGCCACCAAUGGAAUAAAUGAUGUAUAAGUUUCUUGAAGUCGCAAAACACUCACCGUCCUCGAACGUCUCCAACAAUGCGGUGGCUGAGUCUCCCUCCUGUUGCUGGCGGUGCCAGUAAAUAGCGUUCAUUAAACCUCUUCCAACACCUCCUGGUUGACCCACGCCGGCCGUUGUGGUCCUGGGUGGACCGAUAGUCACUUUUGAGCUUUUUCAGCUUCUCCCUACACUGCUUCAUUGUCCUCUUUAUAUACAGUCUACUGUAUACGUGGGCGGCCAUCCGCUCUGAGACCUCCCGAUAAACUUUCUCCGUCCAGCUCUCUCUGUAUUCUUUGGUCCACCACCAAAGACAGAAAAGUCUCAACCUCUUCAUUCACCCACGGUACAGGUCUGGCUGUCAUAUUAAAAUUUUGAAGAACAGAGUUCCGUGAAGAGCAAUGCACACCGUCGCUGUUUACAGUUUUUUUUAAUGUCGGGUUUUGUUUUCGUGCUGGAGUCGCUCUCGUGUGUCAUCACUCCCUGUCCAAUCAGUGGCCUGCACUCUGUAGACAUCACAUUAUCGGCUCAUCUCAGCUCGCUUGGAACCUCAGCCGAGAAGGUACUGAAAAUAGUGCCUGGUACCAGGUACUAGUCCUGAUGAAAAAAGCUCACAAAGACGAGCCGAGCCGUACCGCGGCGAGCAGGUCCUAAAGGAAAUGCAGCUAAAGAGAAUGAAAUUGGAAAAGGGCUCGAGUACAACUAUUCUAGAUAUGUUCACGGUCCAGACCAUCUCUAAACUGCUCUUCCUCCAUGACUUCCGGUGUUGCAACAAAAUAAAACAGCUGUAUUUUGUAUUUUUUAAGUAAAACCAUACACACAAACUGCCCUGUCAUGAUUAACAUAUAUCAGCAGGUGUGAUGUUGGAAUGUGGAAAUCAUGUUAAUUUGUUGUCUUCAAGACAGGACCUACAUAUGAGAGAAGAAUGAUGAAGGGGUACCACGCCAUGAAAGGAGUGCAUGCUGCAGAGACACGAAUUGGAUCAGUGCUCAGAACUAUGCAUCAGCCUUACCAUGAAGCAAGGCGUCAGGCAUGUUACUGUCUUCGCCUUCAUAUUUUACAUCAGGCAUGUCAAACUCAGUUUGGCUCUGGGGCCGGAUCCAGACUUUCUGUUCUCAGGUGGGCCGGAUCAGUAAAAGAAUGUCAACUCCAAAUAUUUAGCUUUGUUUUUCAGUACUGUGCUUUAUCAUUCAGCCUACAUUUGUAGCCUACCCUACAUAUUAUAAUCACGGAUGACAAGGGAUCUUUUCUAAGCACAACACAUUUAUUCACAAACAAUGGAAAAAAAUGAUUUUCAUGUUUGGCGGUGAAUGUGUUAACAACUGGUUUAUUUUAACAGUUGAGUGAAUGCAGUUUUAACCAACUCACCACACUAAACAAACUCAAGUGGGAGCUAUGAAAAAAAUAUUUUUGCCUUAAUUGUCAUACUGCUUUGAAAUAAAUAAAAAAAAUAAAUAUAAAAUAAAAUAAAAUAAAAUAAAUAAAUAAAUAAAAUUAAAAGUUAUAGCAGUGCAUGGGCAAUAAGAUUAGACUACAUCAGAUCAAACUACUAGGCUGGGCCUACUGAAGCUGAGAAUAUACUGCAGAAUAUUAAUUGUCUUUAAUAUGAAACCAGAUUAAUCUUAUCUUUAAUGAUCUGUAUUCAUGAGUGCAAACAAAUUUCGUGUCAUCACACUUUUUUUCUCUCUCUCACUGCACUCCUGCAGUCUACUUGCUGCUGCUGGCUCCUGAAACUUGGCAUCUUUUUUUUCAUUUCAUUUAACAAUGUCAUUCAAGUGUUUAUUUGUUAACCUUGAGCGCUGCUUUGUUUUAUUAUUGUUCAUUACGGAGAACACCUGUUCACAAAGAUAAGUAGUCCCAAACAUGGAUAGAACCUUUGCAGCCAUGGCUGUUAAUUUGGGGUAACCUGGCAUGAGAUAUUGAUAAAACGUAUCCAAUCCCACGGACCCAAAUUUAUCCUUCAUAGCGGAAUCGCACUGCAAGUCAAUAAGCUCGAGUUGAAUGUCAGCUGGCAUAUCAGAAGGCUUCAUUGUAAAUGGCGAGCGAAAAAAGCCAAAUUUGUUCUCAAGUUCACUGAAUACCUGAAACCUCUGCUCAAACUCUCGCAGCAAAUCUGUUAUGUUGUCUUUAUAUUUAUCCAAAUCAUUAUCGGGACGGUCCGGUGCCUUCAAACGCACAGCUGUGAGACAAGAGAAAUGCGCGGUGUCACCGUUGAAUAGCUGCGACUCCCACAGUGACAGUUUCAUCUUGAACGCACUUAUGCUGUCGUAAUAUUGAGUGACAACUCUGUUACGGCCCUGCAAUGCAGUGUUAAGUGUAUUCAAGUGUUGUGUAAUAUCGACCAUAAACGCAAGAUCCUGCACCCAUUCCUUGCAUUUAAGUUCCUUUACUGGGCGUCCCUUCUUCUCCAUGAACUGUCCAAUUUCCCCUCGUAGCUCAAAGAAGCGCGUAAGUACUGCACCUCUGCUUAACCACCGCACGUCAGUGUGGUAUGGAAGGCCAGCAUGAAUGUCAUUAUCACUGAGAAAUGUGUCAAACUGACGGUGAUUUAGACCCCGCGCUCUGAUGAAAUUGACAGUUUUCACAACCACACUCAUAACAUGGUCCAUUUGCAGUGUUUUGCAACAUAACGCCUCCUGGUGCAAAAUACAGUGAAAUGCCCAAAACUAUUGUCCUCCAUUUGCGGUCUGUACUUUGUCACGGAAUUUUGUGGCAACGCCUGCCUUUCUCCCGACCAUUGAUGGCGCACAGUUGGUAGCCAGGCUCACGGCACGGGACCAGUCCACUCCCACCUUGUCCAGCGCUCCAACGAGAGCGCUGAAAAUGUCAUCUGCUGUUGUGGUGUCAUUCAUGGGCACCAAUUUAAGCAGCUCCUUGGUGAUGGUCAAAGUUUCAUCAACACCUCUAAUGAAUAUGGCCAGCUGAGCAAUAUCUGUGACAUCGGUGCUCUCAUCUAUUGCAAUUGAAAAUGCGAUAAAUGACUGGAUUUUAUCUUUCAAUUGAGAGUUCUGUCACCCGAUCUGCGACAGUGUUCCUCGUUAGACUAAUAUUGGCAAAGGCAGGUCGCUUUUCAGGGCACACGACUUCUGCAGCCUUCAGCAUGCAUGUUUUUACAAACUCCCCAUCAGAAAAUGGCUUGGAUGCCUGCACCAGCUCGUUGGCAAUAAUGUAGCUAACUCUUACAGCCCCAUCAGCAAUAUCGCGGCUGCGCGUAAAAGUAGACUGCUGUUUCUUCAGACCAGCGACCAAUUUGUUUAACUCGUCUUUCCUUAUUUGUCCUUUCAAGUGGUCAUACUUGUCUUUAUGAUGAGUCUCAUAGUGGUGCCGAAUAUUAAACUCUUUGAACACUGCAACUUGCUGAUUACAUACCAAGAACACUGGUUUUGCAUUCACUUCUGUGAAUAAAUACUUCUCAGUCCAUUUUUCCUGGAAAACUCUGCACUCCGUGUCCACUUUUCUUUUUUUUGACAGUGCCAUUUUGGGAAGGGUGUGUUGACCGAUGAAGCAAGAUUGCCGGUUUAUUUUUACUUGGACACAUCACGUUGCGAAUGUUUAUUUCCUGUGACUAACUCGUGUCAGUGCCGCAUGCUGGACGUGAGCGCUUUUACACAUUUACUGCCCUUUAGCGGCCGGAGGGAGCAUUUGGUUUGUAUUUAUUUUAAAAAAUCACAACUUUUGAUAGAAAUGAGCUAGAGACUCGCUUCUUUUUUUGACAUACUCAGAAAUUUAUGCCGGGCCGGAUUAAAUCAUCCAACGGGCCGGGUCCGGCCCGCGGGCCGUAUGUUUGACAUGCCUGUUUUACAUCAUCAAACUUGUGUAAUUUAUGUCUAACUAUGAGCUUGUGUGUGUUUUGGUGCUUGUUUAGCUGCAGUUAUGUAGCACAAGAUUUUUAAAAAAUUAUGGUUUUAUAGUAUAACCAGAUCAAGUGCCCUAAUUUAUUUUUAAUUUUCAUUUUGACAGAGAUGAUACAAAUAGACAUAGUUACAGUUAUAAAACUUUUAACUGAUGCAGUAUAUGAUUAAUAGGAUUUUUGUAUACUGUGAAGUAGUUACAUUUUUCUCUCUUUAGGGUGCCCGCAAUCUCAACCCGUACCAUAUCACGCUGAAUACAUGGGACACAAGAUUCAUAUGGAUCAAAAUGAAAAACUGGCCAUGUUUGGAGUCACCCAUGUUUUAUCUGUUGAUGGCUUCAGCAAAAAGGCCUGCAGUACUUGCCUAUGGUAUCUGGGACCAGGUGCGAGUCGCUCAUGGCAAGGAGUUUUACUUGACGCUCUUCAUGCAGGCGCUGCUGUCUACUCAUUGCCACAAUCAGGAGAGAAGGAGAGAGGCCUUAAUUACAGACUUCAUCCACAAAGAAUCAUAUAGUUGAACGAAUCUGGCCUGAGGUCAACAACCGUAUCAACUAUCCACUGAAGACAGCCAUGCUGCAGUUGGAGGAUCAAGAGGAACUAGACAUGAACGAUGGCCUUGUGAGAUACUGUGUCCAACCUGACUGUCCAGUUGUGCCAGAUUGGUCUUACAAGACUGGUAGAGUCAUGGAAUUCUCACCGCAUUCCAGGUGAAACAAAUCAGUGUUGCAAAGAUUAGAAUAAUUACAGCAAGCACUUUUAAGUUUCAAGAACUGCACUAAUUUCUUUAUUUUACAGGUAAAAGUGUACCAAACGACUUGGUUGGCAGUGGCUGUCCCAAAAAAAAAUCCCACAGGAGCCUUAUUCAGUAGAAGCAGCAGACCUUUACAGCCAACAGUUGGGAUCCUCACUGACAAUACAUUCUACUUUUGGAAAUGAUCCAUUUUCCAAUGAACAAAACAAACUUACAGUUGACAGUCAGUUUGCAGAGAAAUAUUCAGACAUUUCAGAUUUGUUGUCAAGAGCAGUGAACGAGGACUUUGCCGCACUCAAAGAAGCAUUGCUCUUUCUCAUAACAACAACUCAACACAAUGUGUGAAAAGACAUUUGCUGUAUUUGAACUUAGUGGACCUUUACAGCCAAAAGCUGGGAUCCUCACUGACAAUACAUUCUACUUUUGGAGUUGAUCUAUUUUCAACUGAACAGGACAAACUUGAGAGUUGAGAAUCAGUUUGCAGAGAAAUAUUCAGACAUUUCAGAAUUCUAUAGAGCAGUGAACAACAACAUGGCUCCAUACAAAGACGCACUGCUCUCUCAUAACCACAACUUUAAAGAAUGUAAAUUUGUAACUAGAACAAUUAAGUGGUGGCAAUGUAUGUAAAGAUAAAUGUUAAUCUCACUAAAACAGUGAACACUAAUAUGACGUCAUCCAGGCCAAACGUGUGAAUGUAUUCACAUUAGUAGUACAAGAACUCUGACCCAAAUAUCUGAAACAAUAAAACAACACAACAGGCCUACAGUAUUUGAGUAUGAAAGUGCAAAAUGUUACUCCUCUUCAAAAAGGGAUCUCAGAACAGAAAAUGCCUCUGACAGACCAUUAACUUCAAAUAUGUUGCUGCCUUCAGUGUUCCCUCUACAUUUUGCACAAUGCCCAGAGGUCAACUGCCACUGUUCCACACGUUUUGCAGCCAAUAAUGCUUUGGCAACAGUCUGUGAAGACUGGCUCAUCAAUGAACUCUGAAAAAUAAAAAGAGAAAAACUAGUCCUUCUCUGUGUCACCAUCUAUUCAAUUUCAAUUCAAUUCAAUUCAAUUUUAUUUAUAUAGCGCCAAUUACAGUCAAAUUGUCUCGAGACGCUUUACAGAACCCAUAUGCCUGACCCCCAGAGCAAGCCAAAAGGUGACAGUGGCAAGGAAAACACCCUUUUAACAGGGAAAAAAACCUCGAGCAGAACCCGGCUCUAAUGUGGGGGGACCCAUCUGCUGCUGGCCGGGCGGGUUGUCCUUAAUGUGUUUUUAAUGUAAUGGAUGACAGUGUUUUCUUCUUCUUUUUUCCACACAUUCCCACACAUUUUUACCAACUAAUUUUCAAAACUUUUCCAUAAUAUUUUACUUCAUUUACAGGACUUUAUCUAAAUACGGUAGUUUUCAGUAAGUAGCUCACAGUGAUGAAAGGGUGCAAUAAUGAGGCUCUGAGUGGAGGAGAAGAGGAUGAGGAAGUGAAGAGGAGGAGAAACAAUAGCCAGAAACAAUGUAUAUUCAAAUUUUUUCCUGUUAAUUUCAAACAAUUUCCAGGUCUGUAAAACUCUUUUUUUAAUCAUUCCAUAACUUUUCCAAGAAUUUCAUGAUCAUGGGAACCCUGCAUAAUGCAUUUCGUUGUUUGGACAAAUAAGAGUAUUAUGAUUGCUUAAUAUUACCUCGUUCUCCUCCUUUUUUUGUCCUGCAGCUCCUGGAUGUCCUAUUCUUGUACAGCAAGAAUCUUUUGUGCAUUUUGUUUCCAGUACUGUGACCCUUUGGAAUGGGGGUGGAGACCAGGGAAAACCAUUACAACUUAAGUGGAUGGUUCAGACAUGAGGAAUCAUGUGUCAUUUAAUUUUCAGUCACUAAAGUUAAGACUUAAAAAAUGUAAUAAAAUUAAAUGUACUCACCUGUUGUUCCUUCUGACUCCAAAAUUGUAUUCCCUUGCGCAUCAGACAACACCACGGGGUCAUGAUUUCCAAUGGCAUCUUGUACUUUUCUGAUGAUCCCCUGCAGGGUAGCCUCACAUUCCAAAAACCGGACCACCACCGUUCUACUGGGACUCAACCUUCCACCAACCACCUCAGCGAGGUAUACUGAUCUGUGAAAAUAUAUAAAAAUAAUUGCUGUCACACACAGAGCAUUCGUAAUUCUGGCAAUGGCUAAUGAUGUUGUAUACCAACAAUAACUCGGAAAUGCGGCAAUGAUUUUGUUGUGUUUUAAGAUGCAUGGAAAAUAUGGUACUUUGAAAAAUAGUUUGUGUCUGAUAUUGUUUUUCCGCAGAAAGAGACAAAU